Long non-coding RNA from Notothenia coriiceps (black rockcod), 222 nucleotides. RefSeq lists it as uncharacterized. NCBI's taxonomy places the organism in Eukaryota, Metazoa, Chordata, Actinopteri, Perciformes, Nototheniidae. The transcript is spliced from 3 exons. The record is from RefSeq and is a predicted model, not a curated record.
CCAGGGUAUUCUGGGCUCAGGCUUUGCCCUGAAGGUCCAGGAGCAGCACAGACAGAAGCACUUUGAGAAGAGAAGAAACCCCGCCGCCUACCUUAUCCAGUGUGUUUGGCGUAGUUAUUCGGCUGAUGAGAACUCGGUUUCCAUUGCUACGUGGAAGCCUCACUUGAAGGCGUUGCACACCUGCAGCCCAACGAAGAAGGAGCAGGGAGAGUCCAACACAAG